CCUACGGGUGGCAGCAGUGGGGAAUAUUUCACAAUGGGGGAAACCCUGAUGCAGCGACGCCGCGUGAGUGAAGAAGUAUCUCGGUACGUAAAGCUCUAUCAGCAGGGAAGAUAAUGACGGUACCUGACCAAGAAGCCCCGGCUAACUACGUGCCAGCAGCCGCGGUAAUACGUAGGAGGCAAGCGUUAUCCGGAAUGACUGGGCGUAAAGGGUGCGUAGGUGGUUUGACAAGUUGGUAGCGUAACUCCGGGGCUCAACCUCGGCACUACUACCAAAACUGUCGGACUUGAGUGCAGGAGGGGAAAAGGGAAUUCGUAGUGUAGCGGUGGAAUGCGUAGAUAUCAGGAGGAACACCAGUGGCGAAGGCGAUUUGCUGGACUGUAACUGACACUGAGGCACGAAAGCGUGGGGAGCAAACAGGAUUAGAUACCCGAGUAGUC
This 440-nucleotide ribosomal RNA is filed under the name uncultured bacterium. Its description in RNAcentral is "partial 16S ribosomal RNA". It matches the Rfam family "Bacterial small subunit ribosomal RNA", at positions 338 to 795 of the family's 1533-position model. The record is from RNAcentral.